ACAACCUCGUUACACGAUACCACAAGCUUAUUCCGCUGUGGACUGAAAUUUUGGCUUUAGGAAUCUUUGAGCAUGAAGAACAGAAGCUUCUCAAGAAAGAGAUAGCAGAUGUCAUGUCUCUGAUGAACAUCUACGGUCCACUAAUGACUAACUUAGGAAACACGAAUAGGUUGACCAAGGAGGCAAUCGAUAAACUGGACAUGGGAAUUGCCGGUUUUCUCAUAGAAUAUCGAAGAUACUUCAAGACAGUUCCACCUAAGCCCUAAGGUACACAUUCUUGAAGACCACGUGAUUCCCCAAUUACGAAAGUUGGGUUGGUCGAUGGGAGUUGGAUCAGAGCAAGGUGGCGAGGCCUCACACAAACUGGUAAAAGCAGUGAGGCAGCGAUUUUUCAAUAAGUCCUCAGAUAAAGACAGUAUUUUAAGAGCUGUGAC
Long non-coding RNA from Bolinopsis microptera, 434 nucleotides. RefSeq lists it as uncharacterized. Lineage: Eukaryota; Metazoa; Ctenophora; Tentaculata; Lobata; Bolinopsidae. The transcript has 3 exons. The record is from RefSeq and is a predicted model, not a curated record.